This 905-nucleotide ribosomal RNA is filed under the name Oligophagozyma castellii. Its description in RNAcentral is "LSU rRNA". It matches the Rfam family "Eukaryotic large subunit ribosomal RNA", at positions 38 to 960 of the family's 3401-position model. Lineage: Eukaryota; Fungi; Ascomycota; Saccharomycetes; Saccharomycetales; Saccharomycetaceae. The record is from RNAcentral.
GCAUAUCAAUAAGCGGAGGAAAAGAAACCAACCGGGAUUGCCUCAGUAACGGCGAGUGAAGCGGCAAAAGCUCAAAUUUGAAAUCUGGUACCUUCGGUGCCCGAGUUGUAAUUUGUAGAGCGUGUCUUGGGGCUGUUCCCUGUCUAUGUUCCUUGGAACAGGACGUCAUGGAGGGUGAGAAUCCCGUAUGGCGGGGGCCGCAGUUCUAUGUAAGUCACGCUCGAAGAGUCGAGUUGUUUGGGAAUGCAGCUCUAAGUGGGUGGUAAAUUCCAUCUAAAGCUAAAUAUAGGCGAGAGACCGAUAGCGAACAAGUACAGUGAUGGAAAGAUGAAAAGAACUUUGAAAAGAGAGUGAAAGAGGACGUGAAAUUGUUGAAAGGGAAGGGCAUUUGAUCAGACAUGGUGUUUUGCGCCCUCUGCUCCUUGUGGGUGGGGGAAUCUCGCAGCUCACUGGGCCAGCAUCAGUUUUGGCGGCAGGAUAAAACCCUGGGAACGUAACUUGCUUCGGUAAGUAUUAUAGCCCAGGGAAAUACUGCCAGCUGGGACUGAGGAACGCGGCGUAAGCCUAGGAUGCUGGCAUAAUGGUUAUAUGCCGCCCGUCUUGAAACACGGACCAAGGAGUCUAACGUCUAUGCAAGUGUUUGGGUGUAAAACCCGUACGCGUAAUGAAAGUGAACGUAGGUUGGGGCCCCUCGAGGGUGCACAAUCGACCGAUCCUGAUGUCUUCGGAUGGAUUUGAGUAAGAGCAUAGCUGUUGGGACCCGAAAGAUGGUGAACUAUGCCUGAAUAGGGUGAAGCCAGAGGAAACUCUGGUGGAGGCUCGUAGCGGUUCUGACGUGCAAAUCGAUCGUCGAAUUUGGGUAUAGGGGCGAAAGACUAAUCGAACCAUCUAGUAGCUGGUCCUGC